UGACGAACGCUGGCGGCGUGCUUAACACAUGCAAGUCGAACGGAAAGGCCCUGCUUUUGUGGGGUGCUCGAGUGGCGAACGGGUGAGUAACACGUGAGUAACCUGCCCUUGACUUUGGGAUAACUUCAGGAAACUGGGGCUAAUACCGGAUAGGAGCUCCUGCUGCAUGGUGGGGGUUGGAAAGUUUCGGCGGUUGGGGAUGGACUCGCGGCUUAUCAGCUUGUUGGUGGGGUAGUGGCUUACCAAGGCUUUGACGGGUAGCCGGCCUGAGAGGGUGACCGGCCACAUUGGGACUGAGGUACGGCCCAGACUCCUACGGGAGGCAGCAGUGGGGAAUAUUGCACAAUGGGCGGAAGCCUGAUGCAGCAACGCCGCGUGCGGGAUGACGGCCUUCGGGUUGUAAACCGCUUUCGCCUGUGACGAAGCGUGAGUGACGGUAAUGGGUAAAGAAGCACCGGCUAACUACGUGCCAGCAGCCGCGGUGAUACGUAGGGUGCGAGCGUUGUCCGGAUUUAUUGGGCGUAAAGGGCUCGUAGGUGGUUGAUCGCGUCGGAAGUGUAAUCUUGGGGCUUAACCCUGAGCGUGCUUUCGAUACGGGUUGACUUGAGGAAGGUAGGGGAGAAUGGAAUUCCUGGUGGAGCGGUGGAAUGCGCAGAUAUCAGGAGGAACACCAGUGGCGAAGGCGGUUCUCUGGGCCUUUCCUGACGCUGAGGAGCGAAAGCGUGGGGAGCGAACAGGCUUAGAUACCCUGGUAGUCCACGCUGUAAACGGUGGGUACUAGGUGUGGGGUCCAUUCCACGGGUUCCGUGCCGUAGCUAACGCUUUAAGUACCCCGCCUGGGGAGUACGGCCGCAAGGCUAAAACUCAAAGGAAUUGACGGGGCCCCGCACAAGCGGCGGAGCAUGCGGAUUAAUUCGAUGCAACGCGUAGAACCUUACCUGGGUUUGACAUGGAUCGGGAGUGCUCAGAGAUGGGUGUGCCUCUUUUGGGGUCGGUUCACAGGUGGUGCAUGCCUGUCGUCAGCUCGUGUCGUGAGAUGUUGGGUUAAGUCCCGCAACGAGCGCAACCCUUGUUCACUGUUGCCAGCACGUUAUGGUGGGGACUCAGUGGAGACCGCCGGGGUCAACUCGGAGGAAGGUGGGGAUGACGUCAAGUCCUCAUGCCCCUUAUGUCCAGGGCUUCACGCAUGCUACAAUGGCUGGUACAGAGAGUGGCGAGCCUGUGAGGGUGAGCGAAUCUCGGAAAGCCGGUCUCAGUUCGGAUUGGGGUCUGCAACUCGACCUCAUGAAGUCGGAGUCGCUAGUAAUCGCAGAUCAGCAACGCUGCGGUGAAUACGUUCCCGGGGCUUGUACACACCGCCCGUCAAGUCAUGAAAGUUGGUAACACCCGAAGCCGGAGGCCUAACCGUUGUGGGGGAGCCGUCGAAGG
This 1428-nucleotide ribosomal RNA is filed under the name uncultured organism. Its description in RNAcentral is "partial small subunit ribosomal RNA". It matches the Rfam family "Bacterial small subunit ribosomal RNA". The record is from RNAcentral.